UAUUGUAGGUAUGCCUAGGCAGCACUCAUACCGCACAGGUUUUGGAGCUGCUCUGAAUAUUGAAACACUAAUUGCUGCUGCUGGGAGAAGGGAUACUCCAAUAGAGAUGCGAAAUCAAAAGAAUUUACUGAUGUCCUGAAAGAUUAGUACUAUCGUUUAGUUUCAUCAGCUGAGUUUUUUUAUGAUUAAUAAUAUUUCAGCUUCAAACCUUUAGUUUCAUCAGCUGAUUUUUACUUUACUGGGACAUUAUAUUUGACAGAGCAAGCAUUGAGCCAAAUUUUCAUGAGCUGUACUUGAAGUUCUUGGAGAAAGUUAAUUCAAGAUUGUUGAAUAAGGAGAUUGUCAAAGCUACUUAUGAGAAUUGCAAGGUUCUUCUAAGAUUAGAGCUUAUAAAAUCAAGUUUAGAAGAGAGUUCAUUACUAAAAAAUCUUGGUAGCUGGCUUGGGAAGUUCACGAUUGGCAGGAAUCAAGCAUUAAGAGCCCAG
This is a long non-coding RNA of Magnolia sinica, 485 nucleotides long. RefSeq lists it as uncharacterized. Lineage: Eukaryota; Viridiplantae; Streptophyta; Magnoliopsida; Magnoliales; Magnoliaceae. The record is from RefSeq and is a predicted model, not a curated record. The transcript is spliced from 3 exons.